UUAAGCGACUAAGCGUACACGGUGGAUGCCCUGGCAGUCAGAGGCGAUGAAGGGCGUGCUAAUCUGCGAUAAGCGCCGGUAAGGUGAUAUGAACCGUUAUAACCGGCGAUACCCGAAUGGGGAAACCCAGUGUGACUCGUCACACUAUCAUUAACUGAAUCCAUAGGUUAAUGAGGCGAACCGGGGGAACUGAAACAUCUAAGUACCCCGAGGAAAAGAAAUCAACCGAGAUUCCCCCAGUAGCGGCGAGCGAACGGGGAGGAGCCCAGAGCCUGAAUCAGCAUGUGUGUUAGUGGAAGCGUCUGGAAAGGCGCGCGAUACAGGGUGACAGCCCCGUACACAAAAGCGCAUGUGCUGUGAGCUCGAUGAGUAGGGCGGGACACGUGGUAUCCUGUCUGAAUAUGGGGGGACCAUCCUCCAAGGCUAAAUACUCCUGACUGACCGAUAGUGAACCAGUACCGUGAGGGAAAGGCGAAAAGAACCCCGGCGAGGGGAGUGAAAAAGAACCUGAAACCGUGUACGUACAAGCAGUGGGAGCACCCUUCGGGGUGUGACUGCGUACCUUUUGUAUAAUGGGUCAGCGACUUAUAUUCUGUAGCAAGGUUAACCGAAUAGGGGAGCCGGAGGGAAACCGAGUCUUAAUUGGGCGUUAAGUUGCAGGGUAUAGACCCGAAACCCGGUGAUCUAGCCAUGGGCAGGUUGAAGGUUGGGUAACACUAACUGGAGGACCGAACCGACUAAUGUUGAAAAAUUAGCGGAUGACCUGUGGCUGGGGGUGAAAGGCCAAUCAAACCGGGAGAUAGCUGGUUCUCCCCGAAAGCUAUUUAGGUAGCGCCUCGUGAAUUCAUCUCCGGGGGUAGAGCACUGUUUCGGCUAGGGGGCCAUCCCGGCUUACCAACCCGAUGCAAACUGCGAAUACCGGAGAAUGUUAUCACGGGAGACACACGGCGGGUGCUAACGUCCGUCGUGAAGAGGGAAACAACCCAGACCGCCAGCUAAGGUCCCAAAGUCAUGGUUAAGUGGGAAACGAUGUGGGAAGGCCCAGACAGCCAGGAUGUUGGCUUAGAAGCAGCCAUCAUUUAAAGAAAGCGUAAUAGCUCACUGGUCGAGUCGGCCUGCGCGGAAGAUGUAACGGGGCUAAACCAUGCACCGAAGCUGCGGCAGCGAACGUAUCACUUAAAGCGAUUCAGCGGGUUACGAUUGACGGAGCGAAGCGACGUCAAAGCGUAUACAAAGUCGAGUCGGUUUAAGGAUACGUUCGUUGGGUAGGGGAGCGUUCUGUAAGCCUGUGAAGGUGGCCUGUGAGGGUUGCUGGAGGUAUCAGAAGUGCGAAUGCUGACAUAAGUAACGAUAAAGCGGGUGAAAAGCCCGCUCGCCGGAAGACCAAGGGUUCCUGUCCAACGUUAAUCGGGGCAGGGUGAGUCGACCCCUAAGGCGAGGCCGAAAGGCGUAGUCGAUGGGAAACGGGUUAAUAUUCCCGUACUUGGUGUUACUGCGAAGGGGGGACGGAGAAGGCUAUGUUGGCCGGGCGACGGUUGUCCCGGUUUAAGCGUGUAGGUGUGUGUUCCAGGUAAAUCCGGUUCACUUUAACACUGAGGCGUGACGACGAGGCACUACGGUGCUGAAGCAACAAAUGCCCUGCUUCCAGGAAAAGCCUCUAAGCAUCAGGUAACAUCAAAUCGUACCCCAAACCGACACAGGUGGUCAGGUAGAGAAUACCAAGGCGCUUGAGAGAACUCGGGUGAAGGAACUAGGCAAAAUGGUGCCGUAACUUCGGGAGAAGGCACGCUGACACGUAGGUGAAGUGAUUUACUCAUGGAGCUGAAGUCAGUCGAAGAUACCAGCUGGCUGCAACUGUUUAUUAAAAACACAGCACUGUGCAAACACGAAAGUGGACGUAUACGGUGUGACGCCUGCCCGGUGCCGGAAGGUUAAUUGAUGGGGUCAGCGCAAGCGAAGCUCCUGAUCGAAGCCCCGGUAAACGGCGGCCGUAACUAUAACGGUCCUAAGGUAGCGAAAUUCCUUGUCGGGUAAGUUCCGACCUGCACGAAUGGCGUAAUGAUGGCCAGGCUGUCUCCACCCGAGACUCAGUGAAAUUGAACUCGCUGUGAAGAUGCAGUGUACCCGCGGCAAGACGGAAAGACCCCGUGAACCUUUACUAUAGCUUGACACUGAACAUUGAGCCUUGAUGUGUAGGAUAGGUGGGAGGCUUUGAAGCGUGGACGCCAGUCUGCGUGGAGCCGACCUUGAAAUACCACCCUUUAAUGUUUGAUGUUCUAACGUGGACCCGUUACCCGGGUUGCGGACAGUGUCUGGUGGGUAGUUUGACUGGGGCGGUCUCCUCCUAAAGAGUAACGGAGGAGCACGAAGGUUGGCUAAUCCUGGUCGGACAUCAGGAGGUUAGUGCAAUGGCAUAAGCCAGCUUGACUGCGAGCGUGACGGCGCGAGCAGGUGCGAAAGCAGGUCAUAGUGAUCCGGUGGUUCUGAAUGGAAGGGCCAUCGCUCAACGGAUAAAAGGUACUCCGGGGAUAACAGGCUGAUACCGCCCAAGAGUUCAUAUCGACGGCGGUGUUUGGCACCUCGAUGUCGGCUCAUCACAUCCUGGGGCUGAAGUAGGUCCCAAGGGUAUGGCUGUUCGCCAUUUAAAGUGGUACGCGAGCUGGGUUUAGAACGUCGUGAGACAGUUCGGUCCCUAUCUGCCGUGGGCGCUGGAGAACUGAGGGGGGCUGCUCCUAGUACGAGAGGACCGGAGUGGACGCAUCACUGGUGUUCGGGUUGUCAUGCCAAUGGCACUGCCCGGUAGCUAAAUGCGGAAGAGAUAAGUGCUGAAAGCAUCUAAGCACGAAACUUGCCCCGAGAUGAGUUCUCCCUGAGACUUUAGGUCUCCUGAAGGAACGUUGAAGACGACGACGUUGAUAGGCCGGGUGUGUAAGCGCAGCGAUGCGUUGAGCUAACCGGUACUAAUGAACCGUGAGGCUUAACCUU
RNAcentral lists this ribosomal RNA (2985 nucleotides) under Salmonella enterica subsp. enterica serovar Bovismorbificans. RNAcentral's name for it is "bacterial LSU rRNA". It matches the Rfam family "Bacterial large subunit ribosomal RNA". The record is from RNAcentral. Lineage: Bacteria; Pseudomonadati; Pseudomonadota; Gammaproteobacteria; Enterobacterales; Enterobacteriaceae.